Brienomyrus brachyistius is the source of this 544-nucleotide long non-coding RNA. RefSeq lists it as uncharacterized. Lineage: Eukaryota; Metazoa; Chordata; Actinopteri; Osteoglossiformes; Mormyridae. The transcript has 2 exons. The record is from RefSeq and is a predicted model, not a curated record.
UAUACGCUUUCGUGUAGCUUUUGUGCUGGAGAAGAGAUGACUCACUGCCUGGGUAUUUUAAAGUGACAGGGACAGUUGACUGUAACUGGUGGCAUUUUUAUGAAGCUAGAAUUUAAGAGAGGGGGAGGAUUUAUGACCUAAUAUUACAUAAAGAUUCAAGACACUUCUGGUUGAAGUGAAGACCCUACUUUCCACAAGUGAAAGCUGCAAUGGACUGUUAUUCUUUCAUAGUCUGUCAAUCAAGGCAGCUUCCAGUUACUAUUAGUAAGUAUUAGCCAUUACGGAUUUCAGCAUUACAUAUUGUGACUGCUGGAGCUAUCUGACUCAUGUGAAUUACUGGGAAGGGACCAUCAUGCAUCAUCCACAAGGGGAACACCAGAUAGAGUUUUAACUGGACAUGCUCGGGAAGAGGAACUAGACUCUUAUACAUGCAUAUCAGCUGAAUAGAGGACCUUUCAGGAGAUGCACAUGAAGCCUUUAACUCCGCAGCAUCUGGAAGACAAACAGCAGAGUUGCACCCAGCAGAACCACUAUCAUCAGGUAA